GUGCUUGCUUUGGCAGCACAUAUAGUAAACAUUGGAAUAAUGCAGAGAUUAGCAUGGCCUCUGCAAAGGAUGACAUGCAAAGUAGUGAAGAGUUUCAUACUAAA
RNAcentral lists this small nuclear RNA (104 nucleotides) under Propithecus coquereli (Coquerel's sifaka). Lineage: Eukaryota; Metazoa; Chordata; Mammalia; Primates; Indriidae. The record is from RNAcentral.